GCUGGGUGGAUUAGUGGCGAACGGGUGAGUAACACGUGAGUAACCUGCCCUUGACUCUGGGAUAAGCCUGGGAAACUGGGUCUAAUACCGGAUAUGACUUCUCAUCGCAUGGUGGGGGGUGGAAAGCUUUUGUGGUUUUGGAUGGACUCGCGGCCUAUCAGCUUGUUGGUGGGGUAAUGGCCUACCAAGGCGACGACGGGUAGCCGGCCUGAGAGGGUGACCGGCCACACUGGGACUGAGACACGGCCCAGACUCCUACGGGAGGCAGCAGUGGGGAAUAUUGCACAAUGGGCGCAAGCCUGAUGCAGCGACGCCGCGUGAGGGAUGACGGCCUUCGGGUUGUAAACCUCUUUCAGUAGGGAAGAAGCCUUUCGGGGUGACGGUACUUGCAGAAGAAGCGCCGGCUAACUACGUGCCAGCAGCCGCGGUAAUACGUAGGGCGCAAGCGUUAUCCGGAAUUAUUGGGCGUAAAGAGCUCGUAGGCGGUUUGUCGCGUCUGCUGUGAAAGACCGGGGCUCAACUCCGGUUCUGCAGUGGGUACGGGCAGACUAGAGUGCAGUAGGGGAGACUGGAAUUCCUGGUGUAGCGGUGAAAUGCGCAGAUAUCAGGAGGAACACCGAUGGCGAAGGCAGGUCUCUGGGCUGUAACUGACGCUGAGGAGCGAAAGCAUGGGGAGCGAACAGGAUUAGAUACCCUGGUAGUCCAUGCCGUAAACGUUGGGCACUAGGUGUGGGGGACAUUCCACGUUUUCCGCGCCGUAGCUAACGCAUUAAGU
This 775-nucleotide ribosomal RNA is filed under the name Arthrobacter sp. RKEM 1692. RNAcentral describes it as "bacterial SSU rRNA". It matches the Rfam family "Bacterial small subunit ribosomal RNA", at positions 82 to 865 of the family's 1533-position model. Lineage: Bacteria; Bacillati; Actinomycetota; Actinomycetes; Micrococcales; Micrococcaceae. The record is from RNAcentral.